Molecule: ribosomal RNA, 253 nt
Filed under: uncultured bacterium
Lineage: Bacteria
Description: partial 16S ribosomal RNA
Rfam family: Bacterial small subunit ribosomal RNA
Source: RNAcentral
UACAGAGGGUGCGAGCGUUAAUCGGAAUUACUGGGCGUAAAGCGUGCGUAGACGGCUAUCUAAGUCGGGUGUGAAAGCCCCGGGCUCAACCUGGGAAUUGCAUUCGAGACUGAAUAGCUAGGGUACGGUAGAGGGAAGCGGAAUUUCCGGUGUAGCGGUGAAAUGCGUAGAUAUCGGAAGGAACAUCAGUGGCGAAAGCGGCUUCCUGGACCAGUACCGACGUUCGGGCACGAAAGCGUGGGGAGCAAACAGG